UUAAGCGACUAAGCGUACACGGUGGAUGCCCUGGCAGUCAGAGGCGAUGAAGGACGUGCUAAUCUGCGAAAAGCGUCGGUAAGGUGAUAUGAACCGUUAUAACCGGCGAUGUCCGAAUGGGGAAACCCAGUGCAAUUCGUUGCACUAUCGUUAACUGAAUACAUAGGUUAACGAGGCGAACCGGGGGAACUGAAACAUCUAAGUACCCCGAGGAAAAGAAAUCAACCGAGAUUCCCCCAGUAGCGGCGAGCGAACGGGGAGCAGCCCAGAGUCUGAAUCAGCUUGUGUGUUAGUGGAACGGUCUGGAAAGUCCGACGGUACAGGGUGAUAGUCCCGUACACCAAAAUGCACAGGCUGUGAACUCGAAGAGUAGGGCGGGACACGUGGUAUCCUGUCUGAAUAUGGGGGGACCAUCCUCCAAGGCUAAAUACUCCUGACUGACCGAUAGUGAACCAGUACCGUGAGGGAAAGGCGAAAAGAACCCCGGCGAGGGGAGUGAAAAAGAACCUGAAACCGUGUACGUACAAGCAGUGGGAGCACCUUCGGGUGUGACUGCGUACCUUUUGUAUAAUGGGUCAGCGACUUAUAUUCUGUAGCAAGGUUAACCGUAUAGGGGAGCCGCAGGGAAACCGAGUCUUAACUGGGCGUUAAGUUGCAGGGUAUAGACCCGAAACCCGGUGAUCUAGCCAUGGGCAGGUUGAAGGUUGGGUAACACUAACUGGAGGACCGAACCGACUAAUGUUGAAAAAUUAGCGGAUGACUUGUGGCUGGGGGUGAAAGGCCAAUCAAACCGGGAGAUAGCUGGUUCUCCCCGAAAGCUAUUUAGGUAGCGCCUCGUGAACUCAUCUUCGGGGGUAGAGCACUGUUUCGGCUAGGGGGUCAUCCCGACUUACCAACCCGAUGCAAACUACGAAUACCGAAGAAUGUUAUCACGGGAGACACACGGCGGGUGCUAACGUCCGUCGUGAAGAGGGAAACAACCCAGACCGCCAGCUAAGGUCCCAAAGUCAUGGUUAAGUGGGAAACGAUGUGGGAAGGCACAGACAGCCAGGAUGUUGGCUUAGAAGCAGCCAUCAUUUAAAGAAAGCGUAAUAGCUCACUGGUCGAGUCGGCCUGCGCGGAAGAUGUAACGGGGCUAAACCAUGCACCGAAGCUGCGGCAGCGACACUAUGUGUUGUUGGGUAGGGGAGCGUUCUGUAAGCCUGCGAAGGUGACCUGUGAGGGUUGCUGGAGGUAUCAGAAGUGCGAAUGCUGACAUAAGUAACGAUAAAGCGGGUGAAAAGCCCGCUCGCCGGAAGACCAAGGGUUCCUGUCCAACGUUAAUCGGGGCAGGGUGAGUCGACCCCUAAGGCGAGGCCGAAAGGCGUAGUCGAUGGGAAACAGGUUAAUAUUCCUGUACUUGGUGUUACUGCGAAGGGGGGACGGAGAAGGCUAUGUUAGCCGGGCGACGGUUGUCCCGGUUUAAGCAUGUAGGCUGAUUGUCCAGGCAAAUCCGGAUAAUCAAGGCUGAGGUGUGAUGACGAGGCACUACGGUGCUGAAGUAACAAAUGCCCUGCUUCCAGGAAAAGCCUCUAAGCAUCAGGUAACAUUAAAUCGUACCCCAAACCGACACAGGUGGUCAGGUAGAGAAUACCAAGGCGCUUGAGAGAACUCGGGUGAAGGAACUAGGCAAAAUGGUGCCGUAACUUCGGGAGAAGGCACGCUGGUGUGUAGGUGAAGCCCCUGCGGGUGGAGCUGAGACCAGUCGAAGAUACCAGCUGGCUGCAACUGUUUAUUAAAAACACAGCACUGUGCAAACACGAAAGUGGACGUAUACGGUGUGACGCCUGCCCGGUGCCGGAAGGUUAAUUGAUGGGGUUAUCCGUAAGGAGAAGCUCUUGAUCGAAGCCCCGGUAAACGGCGGCCGUAACUAUAACGGUCCUAAGGUAGCGAAAUUCCUUGUCGGGUAAGUUCCGACCUGCACGAAUGGCGUAAUGAUGGCCAGGCUGUCUCCACCCGAGACUCAGUGAAAUUGAACUCGCUGUGAAGAUGCAGUGUACCCGCGGCAAGACGGAAAGACCCCGUGAACCUUUACUAUAGCUUGACACUGAACAUUGAGCCUUGAUGUGUAGGAUAGGUGGGAGGCUUUGAAGCGUGGACGCCAGUCUGCGUGGAGCCAACCUUGAAAUACCACCCUUUAAUGUUUGAUGUUCUAACGUUGGCCCCUGACCGGGGUUGCGGACAGUGUCUGGUGGGUAGUUUGACUGGGGCGGUCUCCUCCCAAAGCGUAACGGAGGAGCACGAAGGUUAGCUAAUCCUGGUCGGACAUCAGGAGGUUAGUGCAAUGGCAUAAGCUAGCUUGACUGCGAGCGUGACGGCGCGAGCAGGUGCGAAAGCAGGUCAUAGUGAUCCGGUGGUUCUGAAUGGAAGGGCCAUCGCUCAACGGAUAAAAGGUACUCCGGGGAUAACAGGCUGAUACCGCCCAAGAGUUCAUAUCGACGGCGGUGUUUGGCACCUCGAUGUCGGCUCAUCACAUCCUGGGGCUGAAGUAGGUCCCAAGGGUAUGGCUGUUCGCCAUUUAAAGUGGUACGCGAGCUGGGUUUAGAACGUCGUGAGACAGUUCGGUCCCUAUCUGCCGUGGGCGCUGGAGAAUUGAGGGGGGCUGCUCCUAGUACGAGAGGACCGGAGUGGACGCAUCACUGGUGUUCGGGUUGUCAUGCCAAUGGCACUGCCCGGUAGCUAAAUGCGGAAGAGAUAAGUGCUGAAAGCAUCUAAGCACGAAACUUGCCCCGAGAUGAGUUCUCCCUGAGACUUUAAGUCUCCUGAAGGAACGUUAAAGACGAUGACGUUGAUAGGCCGGGUGUGUAAGCGCAGCGAUGCGUUGAGCUAACCGGUACUAAUGAACCGUGAGGCUUAACCUU
RNAcentral lists this ribosomal RNA (2900 nucleotides) under Klebsiella pneumoniae. RNAcentral's name for it is "bacterial LSU rRNA". It matches the Rfam family "Bacterial large subunit ribosomal RNA". The record is from RNAcentral. Lineage: Bacteria; Pseudomonadati; Pseudomonadota; Gammaproteobacteria; Enterobacterales; Enterobacteriaceae.